CUUGAGAGCUGUAUGAAAAAGGAGGAAAGCAACAAUUUAUACUGAAGGAACCAAUGAGAAAUGAAUACAACCCUAUAUGGUAUCUUCAGUGUGAUUUAAUUACUACAGAAUCAUAGAAUAAACAUUCAGUUACCAGGAAGUUUUUCAACUGAUUUCUUUAUUUCCUACAUACAACCGUACUGUGGAAGGAGUGGCAAGAAAAGACAGCAGCAAAUAUUUUCUUUAUAAAAAUAAGAUUCAAGAUCACUACAACUUCCCUCUUGAAAAUGUUCCAUGUAGGCGUUGGAAAGAAGGAAGGAUGCAACUCAGAAGACAGCAGUAGCUAAGCUAUGCUAACAUACAUUCUAUGCACAAUUACAUGUGGACUAGAGCACACCAUGAAGUUUAAUUCUCCAGAAUUCACAGACGUGCCUAGAUCACACGGUAUUUCCAGAGUAAUGCCAAGACUGGCACCACUGAGCAAUACCACCUACAAAAUUCCCCAAAGCAUAUGCUAGAAUGAAAAACCAUUAAACAGGGCAAAUGCUUCUGUUUCUAUUUCUGGGUAUCACAAACCUACUGAACACAAAAAAGCAAAAUGACUGUAGGAUAUUUCCCUUCUCUGUAUCUCCUGUUCUAAUGCUUUGGGAUUUUUAUGUCCAUGGGUUUCAAUCCCAUAUCAUCAAAUCACAGAAUGAGUUGGAAGGGAUGUUAAGAUCACGUAGUUCCACCCCUCCUACCAUGGACAUGGACACCUUUCACUAGACCAGGUUGCUCAAAACCCCAUCCAGCCUGGCCUUGAACACUGCCAGGCACAGGACAUCCACAACUUCUCUGAGCAACCUGUUCCAGUGUCUCAGCACCCUCAUAGUAAAGAAUUUCUUCCUAGUAUCUAAUUUAAAUCUGCUCUCUUUCAGUUUAAAGCCAAACAAAACUGUAUUCUAACAAAGAAGAAAUUAAAAUGCUAAACAUAAAAUUGAAAGCUAGAGAGGUGACCUUUUAUAUAUAAAUCUAGAUUAGAUUAAAUUGCAGCUCACCUAGCUGCUAGAAACCAAACUCUCUAAGGCAUGACAGUAUUGAAACUACACACACAUAUUAACAAACUGACUAGAAUAUCCCUAGCAAACAUAUGGCAAUACACUAAAGCAGUUCUAAAAAAAGGCCGAAAUUAAGCUAUUCAAAGAAUAUUGUGUGACAUUUCUGUUACUGAAAAGGAGCAAGGAGCUUCAAUUAGUACACUAAUAAUUAGGCUACUGAUAGUAGUGGCCUGUCCUGGUUUCAGCAUAGAAAAGUAAUUUAACUGUAAUUUGUUUACUAAAAAUCCCUUUAUUCAGUGUUAAGAUUUUUUUGUUUGUUCUGACAAUUACAAAGUAUUUCAGAACUUGCAGGGUAGGAAACACAUGCAAGAUUACAAGCAGCACUGUAGAACUUUCUGUUAACCUGUACCCUGUAAGUAGGCUGGUUGCUGUAAAUGACAGUGUGCUUUUUUUGCUACAAAUGAAUGUUUCCAUACAACCCGCUCCAACCAGUGGCACUGGUACCCAUCUCUUCUACUGCCAGUAUUUUUGCCUAUUAAUACUAUAGAUUAAUUGUGAUAUUCUUGCAAGUACCACUGUCAGAAACACAUUCGCAGGUCUAUGAAAAAACAAACAAAAAAGUCAAGUUGCCUAGCCACAUCAUAUAAAUGAUCAAACUUUCAAGUUAGUUCAUUUCAAGGGGAAGCUUCCUGACACUCUCCUUCAACAAAGGCUAAAUUGUUGACAUUACCCUAAAGGUAAAGAAUUUGUGGUACUUAUGGAAAAUCUCUAAUUGCUUCUGAAAAGAAGUUAAACCAUAAACAAGAUAGUUCAUACUUAGCCUAACUGCUAUCCACUCCUAAAUACUCAGUAGUAUUCAAAUUCCCAAACUUUUAUCAUCAUUCAUACAUCCCUGUGAUUUUAAUACUUUUCUUUGUUUAGAAUUUUAGCCUUUACCUGUAGCAAGCUAUCAUUAACAGACAUUCUUCAGGGCAUCAUACACAAAGCCCAAGAAGUAGGAAAAGAUCAAAAGGAAAAGGUGACUCACACUGAAGGAGCUUUCACCAAUAUAUCCAUGAUUUUCAGAGUAAGAAAUGGACUUUUCAUGUGCUCUACCAGUAAUGUUUUCAAAUUUUAUUAAGAACAAUUUUAGUACAAACCAGGAUAAAGACUGAAUUGUUCCAGAGAAGAAUCCAAGCGGGGG
Neopsephotus bourkii (Bourke's parrot) is the source of this 2199-nucleotide long non-coding RNA. RefSeq lists it as uncharacterized. The record is from RefSeq and is a predicted model, not a curated record. The transcript is spliced from 2 exons. Lineage: Eukaryota; Metazoa; Chordata; Aves; Psittaciformes; Psittacidae.